RNAcentral lists this long non-coding RNA (569 nucleotides) under Capra hircus (goat). Its description in RNAcentral is "lncRNA (ENSCHIG00000006992.1)". Lineage: Eukaryota; Metazoa; Chordata; Mammalia; Artiodactyla; Bovidae. The record is from RNAcentral.
CAGUGUGUCUGUGUGUGUUUGUGUCUGUGUGUGUGUGCGCGCGUGCGCGCGUGUGUGUGCGCGCGUGUCUGUGUGUCUGUACUGCGCGCGGGCGGGCGCGUGUGUGUGUGCGCGCGGGGGCUCCAGUGCAGGAGCCGCUGGGUGUGCGUGCGUGUGUUAUGGGUUUGAUUCCAGAGCAGGUUGCACAUUGGUCCUGGGUGGCUCGCAGGCUCAGGUCGUGCUUGGGCGUCCUCCUCCUAAUCGUUUCCGAAGUAGCAGCAGCAGCAGCAGCAGCACCAGCAGCAGCAGCCGCCGCGGCAGCAUCGCAGCAGCUCAGCGGCACAGCCGGCAGAACUGUGCAGAAGCGAGCACCGUUUGGGGAGUCCGGGGGGCGGCAGUUACAUCCAGCUGUUUAUUGCCUAAGCAUUCUGGGGCUUGCUUCGUCACUUGGCUUUGCUGUGGAGCACUCCUGUAGAGCUUACUGAAUUGCAUAUUGAAGAUCCACCCGUUUGUCAGUGCCGGCAAAAGAUGCCCUGGAGGAUAUCUCUUUUUUAAAGCUCAUUGAGAAAAGACUCAUGAGUUGCGGUGUG